CCUACGGGUGGCAGCAGUGGGGAAUAUUGGGCAAUGGGCGCAAGCCUGACCCAGCAACGCCGCGUGAGUGAAGAAGUCUUUCGGGUUGUAAACUUCUUUUCUGAGGGACGAAGAAAGUGACAGUACCUCAGGAAUAAGCCACUGCUAACUACGUGCCAGCAGCCGCGGUAAUACGUAGGUGGCAAUCGUUAGCCGGAUUUAUUGGGUGGAAAGGGCUUGUAGGCGGGAAAGCAAGUCAGAUGUGAAAACUCAGGGCUCAACCCUGAGCCUGCAUUUGAAACUGUGCUUCUUGAGUGCAGGAGAGGUAAGCGGAAUUCCGGGUGUAGCGGUGAAAUGCGUAGAUAUAAGGAGGAACACCAGUGGCGAAGGCGGAUUGCUGGACAGUAACUGACGCUGAGGCGCGAAAGCGUGGGGAGCAAACAGGAUUAGAUACCCUAGUAGUC
This 443-nucleotide ribosomal RNA is filed under the name uncultured bacterium. Its description in RNAcentral is "partial 16S ribosomal RNA". It matches the Rfam family "Bacterial small subunit ribosomal RNA", at positions 338 to 795 of the family's 1533-position model. The record is from RNAcentral.